RNAcentral lists this ribosomal RNA (253 nucleotides) under uncultured bacterium. Its description in RNAcentral is "partial 16S ribosomal RNA". It matches the Rfam family "Bacterial small subunit ribosomal RNA", at positions 524 to 776 of the family's 1533-position model. The record is from RNAcentral.
UACGAAGGGUGCAAGCGUUAACCGGAAUUACUGGGCGUAAAGCGUGCGCAGGCGGUUUUGUAAGUCUGUCGUGAAAUCCCCGGGCUCAACCUGGGAAUUGCGAUGGAGACUGCAAGGCUAGAAUCUGGCAGAGGGGGGUAGAAUUCCACGUGUAGCAGUGAAAUGCGUAGAGAUGUGGAGGAACACCGAUGGCGAAGGCAGCCCCCUGGGUCAAGAUUGACGCUCAUGCACGAAAGCGUGGGGAGCAAACAGG